GGGAAGAGAGACAGAAGGAACCGGCGACAGUGGUCUCAGGGCCGCUCCGGGGGGCCUCAAGAACCGGAGGCAGCCCCGGAGGUGGUCCCCGAUCCCGGGCUAUGCUCUUGGACCUGAGAAGGGAAGGCGGAGGGCGGCGGGGACAAGAUGGGUGGGGAAUGUCAAGCGAGGAAUGCUAGGCGGGGGAGGGGCGUUGCUAUGGCGACUGGGGAGGGGCGGUGUCUGUUCUGAAUCGCUGUGUGUCACCCGGGCGCUGCCCAGGAAGGGCAGGGCUGGGGUGAUGACCAUGGUAACAGCCGGGUGGGAGUUCGUGACAUCUCUGGCGCGGAGGGACUCGAUGUCUAUGGCAAUGGUCGCCUGGUGAAAGGGACGGAACUAGAUCCCUUCGCUCGGGACGCUCACAUUCCAGGCCCUUGUCCUGCAGGCUGCCGCGGGCGGACACGCCAGAGGAGGAGGCCGGGGAAUGGCCGCGGUGUGGCAGCAAGUCUUAGCAGUGGACGCGAGGUGAGGCGUGGGGUCAAAGCCCAUGGGAGCAGAACUUACUGUGGUGCAUGCGCAAUGGCGAUAAGUGAGGCUGGGCGGAGAACUUGCCUUGUGCGGCUGCGUGGGCAUGCCGGAGGUGAGCAUGCGCAAUAGCGGGGGCGGGCACGCCGGCGGUGAGUUGGCUGGGCCGGAGAGGAUUCUAAACAGCAAGCUAGGAAAAUGUGGUCAGAUGUGGGCAUGCGCAAAGAGGCUGCCUGUGAGAGGGAGGUGGGGCUCGGGCAGGUGACAUCCUAUCCCUUAUGGGUGUCCCCUAGACUUUUUUUUUUUACAUCAUCACUUCCCCAUUCUGACCCCAUCACCUCCCAACGCUGACCCCCAUAAUGUCAGUCUGACUUCUGUCGCCCUGGUAUACUGACCCUAAUUAUUGUCUGCGCUGACCCAGUCACCCCGUAGGGACCCCAGCACGGCAGCAGACUGACUCUGUUGUCUGCAAACUGACCUCAUGACCAUGCUCAUUAUUACUGCAGACUCACUCCCACCACAGGAGGUCCCCCCUCACCACUGCUAGUCAUUCUUACCACCUAGGCCCCAGUCACUGCCACACACCUCACUCUCCUGCCCUACCCCCGGAGCUGAUUGAUUCCCUCUGUCCUGUGCCUGCUGCCUGCCCUGCAUCCUGACCCUGCAGGUACAACGCGUACCGCACACCAACGUUUCCACAGUUUCGGACGCAGUAUAUCCGCCGGCGCAGCCAGCUGCUGCGGGAGAAUGCCAAGGCUGGGCACCCCCCAGCGCUGCGUCGGCAGUACCUGAGGCUUCGGGGGCAGCUGCUCGGCCAGCGCUACGGGCCCCUCUCCGAGCCAGGCAGUGCUCGUGCCUAUAGCAACAGCAUCGUCCGCAGUAGCCGUACUACUCUUGACCGCAUGGAGGUGAGCUCCUGGCCACAUUCACCCCCUGGGCAUACCCUGCCUGCACACAUUCACUCCACUGACUUUCAUCAAGCACCUGCUCUUUGCUGGGCACUGUUCUGCAUCAGCAGAGGACAAAAAGAUAAUAUGCCAAGUAAACCAGUAAACACACAAACUUGGUAAACAGGUCAGUAAACAUAUAGCAAGCCCUGUCUUUAGUAUCUGCUGAGCAGGGGGAGGGCAGGAACAGCAGAACUCGUGAGGAAGCCACUGCAGUAGUACAAGUGGGCAGCGGUGGUGGUGGCAGGGGACACAGUGAGAAGUGAUCUGACUCUAGGUAGAUUUUCAGGGCUCCACACCUCAAAGGUUCUCGGGCUUUUUGCAAGAUGCACCCACCCUGACCCUCUCCAUUUGCAGGACUUUGAGGAUGAUCCUCGGGCUCUGGGGGCCCGUGGGCACCGUCGUUCUGUCAGCAGAGGCUCCUACCAGCUGCAGGCGCAGAUGAACCGUGCCGUCUAUGAGGACAGCGUGGUGCCCACAUCAGCGGCAGAGGCAAGUCGGGCCAUGGCCGGGGACACAUCACUGAGCGAGAACUAUGCCUUUGCGGGCAUGUACCAUGUUUUUGACCAGCACGUGGAUGAGGCAGGUGAGCCAGUGGGUGGCGGGUUACAUCACCAAGCAUUUGCCCAAACUGUGACAACCAACCAAGGCAUCCUUUUCUGAAUCCAAGUCCCCUGGCACACCUCCAAAGGAAGAAUGACCAUCCAUAAAGCCUUUUGUAGACUGAAAAUCCCUCUGCAAAGUGGUCAGUGCUUCAUCUACUGGAAAGGGCCUCAGAAGCCUAAGAGAGAGCCCUUUGCAGCAGGCUGCCUGGGUUCCUGAGUCACUUGGAAGAGUUCAAAGCCUUUGCUGAUGAUAAAUCCCCUUGCAGAAGGCAGAGUGGGCUACAGUGUCAAGGGUUUUGCAAAUUGCCAAGACCUUGAUUAUAAAGUGUUUGCUAAGACAGGAACUUUUUCACGUUGCAGAAGAUUUUUGCAAUCUCCAAAGGAGCUGCUAAGACUUAGGGAGCUUUGGCAGAGGGUCUUCAGGGGUUACAGUUCCCUUUGUCAGCCAAUGAAAGCCCUUUGCUGAGGCCACUGUGCCUCAUGCAGUGGGGCCCCAGCCCCAGGCACACACAUCAGAGCCUUUUAGAGAGAAAAGUGCCCAGUGAG
Molecule: small RNA, 2602 nt
Filed under: Pongo abelii (Sumatran orangutan)
Lineage: Eukaryota; Metazoa; Chordata; Mammalia; Primates; Hominidae
Description: retained intron
Source: RNAcentral